CCUGCGGAGGGAUCAUUGCUGGAACGCGCUUCGGCGCACCCAGAAACCCUUUGUGAACUUAUACCUAUUGUUGCCUCGGCGUAGGCCGGCCUCUUCACUGAGGCCCCCUGGAAACAGGGAGCAGCCCGCCGGCGGCCAACCAAACUCUUGUUUCUACAGUGAAUCUCUGAGUAAAAAACAUAAAUGAAUCAAAACUUUCAACAACGGAUCUCUUGGUUCUGGCAUCGAUGAAGAACGCAGCGAAAUGCGAUAAGUAAUGUGAAUUGCAGAAUUCAGUGAAUCAUCGAAUCUUUGAACGCACAUUGCGCCCUCUGGUAUUCCGGAGGGCAUGCCUGUUCGAGCGUCAUUUCAACCCUCAAGCCUGGCUUGGUGAUGGGGCACUGCCUGUAAAAGGGCAGGCCCUGAAAUCUAGUGGCGAGCUCGCCAGGACCCCGAGCGUAGUAGUUAUAUCUCGCUCUGGAAGGCCCUGGCGGUGCCCUGCCGUUAAACCCCCAACUUCUGAAAAUUUGACCUCGGAUCAGGUAGGAAUACCCGCUGAACUUAAGCAUAU
RNAcentral lists this ribosomal RNA (550 nucleotides) under Phomopsis sp. Its description in RNAcentral is "eukaryotic LSU rRNA". The stretch from base 193 to 346 matches the Rfam family "5.8S ribosomal RNA". The record is from RNAcentral. Lineage: Eukaryota; Fungi; Ascomycota; Sordariomycetes; Diaporthales; Diaporthaceae.